This 429-nucleotide ribosomal RNA is filed under the name Fusobacteriota bacterium. RNAcentral describes it as "Fusobacteria bacterium partial 16S ribosomal RNA". It matches the Rfam family "Bacterial small subunit ribosomal RNA", at positions 355 to 776 of the family's 1533-position model. Lineage: Bacteria; Fusobacteriati; Fusobacteriota. The record is from RNAcentral.
UGGGGAAUAUUGCGCAAUGGGCGAAAGCCUGACGCAGCGACGCCGCGUGAGGGAUGAAGGUUUUCGGAUCGUAAACCUCUGUCAGAAGGGAAGAAACCGCACUGUGCUAAUCAGCAGUGCCUUGACGGUACCUUCAAAGGAAGCACCGGCUAACUCCGUGCCAGCAGCCGCGGUAAUACGGAGGGUGCAAGCGUUAAUCGGAAUUACUGGGCGUAAAGCGCACGUAGGCUGCUUUGUAAGUCAGGGGUGAAAUCCCACGGCUCAACCUUGGAACUGCCUUUGAUACUGCUUAGCUUGAAUCCGGGAGAGGGUGGCGGAAUUCCAGGUGUAGGAGUGAAAUCCGUAGAUAUCUGGAGGAACAUCAGUGGCGAAGGCGGCCACCUGGACCGGUAUUGACGCUGAGGUGCGAAAGCGUGGGGAGCAAACAGG